UUCGAUGAGAAAAUAAAUGAAGUGUGACC
Molecule: non-coding RNA, 29 nt
Filed under: Bombyx mori (domestic silkworm)
Lineage: Eukaryota; Metazoa; Arthropoda; Insecta; Lepidoptera; Bombycidae
Source: RNAcentral